AGGGAUUUACGAUAACUUCACAUCUGAUCGAUUUUUUGGGACUUGGCAUUGACUUGCCUUUGGAUUUCGUCCUUCUCUCAUUGCUAUAAACCGGACUGAUUUUUAAAUACUUACUUUUCCUACACUUCUACACUCCCUUUUUGACGGAUCCUCUGUAUUUUCUUCACAAACUGUACCGCUUAGUUGAUUUUUCCUUUUGGUUAGCCUAAUUUGUUCUAAAGUGAUAUGCACCUAUUUUUUUUUUUUCAUUUUCAAGUGAAUUAAUCAUCGAUCGUAAAGAUUCUUACCUCCUUGUGCCUUACUCAUUUCUCCACUGGUUGGGACGAUAACUUCCUUUGUCCUGGAAUCUAUAAGAAAAGAAAGUUAUUCACAAAUCCUUCAAGAAAAAAAAAUAAUCUAAAAGCAUUGUAAACAAAUGAAUGGAUGCUGCCUGGGCAACAUGUGAGUGUGAUUCGUUCAUUCAACAGUUGCCACCAUACUGACAAAAAUGCAUUCUUCAGAGACACUUCCAUAUUUUCGAAAUAUGUGACAAGUAUCCUGGAACUAAAGGAAUAGUUCCUUGUUUUGGUUCUGUGAUCCAGUACUCAUCCGGAUAGUUG
This is a long non-coding RNA of Pelobates fuscus (common spadefoot toad), 599 nucleotides long. RefSeq lists it as uncharacterized. The record is from RefSeq and is a predicted model, not a curated record. Lineage: Eukaryota; Metazoa; Chordata; Amphibia; Anura; Pelobatidae. The transcript has 3 exons.